RNAcentral lists this ribosomal RNA (274 nucleotides) under uncultured bacterium. RNAcentral describes it as "partial 16S ribosomal RNA". It matches the Rfam family "Bacterial small subunit ribosomal RNA", at positions 523 to 796 of the family's 1533-position model. The record is from RNAcentral.
CUACGGAGGGUGCAAGCGUUACUCGGAAUCACUGGGCGUAAAGCGCGCGCAGGCGGCUAUUUAAGUUGGAUGUGAAAGCGUACGGCUCAACCGUAGAACUGCAUCCAAAACUAUUUAGCUAGAGUGUGGGAGAGGAAGAUGGAAUUAGUUGUGUAGGGGUAAAAUCCGUAGAGAUAACUAGGAAUACCAAAAGCGAAGGCAAUCUUCUGGAACACUACUGACGCUGAGGCGCGAAAGCGUGGGGAGCAAACAGGAUUAGAAACCCCAGUAGUCC